GACGAACGCUGGCGGCGUGCCUAAUACAUGCAAGUAGAACGCUGACGUGAGGAGUUUGCUCUUCUUCGGAGAGUUGCGGACGGGUGAGUAACGCGUAGGUAACCUGCCUUCUAGCGGGGGAUAACUAUUGGAAACGAUAGCUAAUACCGCAUAACAAUUGUUGACACAUGUCAUUUAUUUGAAAGGGGCAAUUGCUCCACUACAAGAUGGACCUGCGGUGUAUUAGGUAGUAGGUGAGGUAAUGGCUCACCUAGGCGACGGUACAUAGCCGACCUGAGAGGGAGAUCAGCCACACUGAGACUGGGACAGGGACCAGACCCAGACGGGAGGGAGAAGUAGGGGAUAUGAAGAAAGGGGAGCAAGCGUGACCGGGAAGCACCGAGGGAGUGAAGAGGGUUAUCGGAUCGUAGAGCGCAGUUGUAAGUCAAGAGGGGGUAAGGGGAUGGAAGGGUCACACUGUGACGGUACCUUAUGAGAAAGGGACGGCUAACUACGUG
This 497-nucleotide ribosomal RNA is filed under the name uncultured bacterium. RNAcentral describes it as "partial 16S ribosomal RNA". It matches the Rfam family "Bacterial small subunit ribosomal RNA", at positions 28 to 507 of the family's 1533-position model. The record is from RNAcentral.